Molecule: non-coding RNA, 7184 nt
Organism: Phalacrocorax carbo (great cormorant)
Lineage: Eukaryota; Metazoa; Chordata; Aves; Suliformes; Phalacrocoracidae
Source: RefSeq, a predicted model, not a curated record
ACAAACCUCAGAAAACUUCAUACCUGCUGGAUCUUCAAGUUGUUUUGCUUGUCGAGAGCCCGGUGCCAGUCUGGAACAAGACUGUACAGUAAACAGAGUAAGGAGCAUCCUGAGCUAGUAUUUACCAACUGGAGGUCAAGAGAAAAUGACAGAAAUGAAGCUCAAGACCACUGAGAGACUCUCCUGGGCGUGCUGGGAGUGAAGUACUUGCUGGUUGGCUGCGUGCUGUGUUGUGGAAGGGUGAGAACCAGUGGAGGAAAAAGCUGGGGAGGGAGACCGUAGGAUGCUGCAAUCACAGAACUGAACGGCCCAAGUGGCUUCAAGCAAAAUGUCCUGAGGAUGAUACGUAUCUGCCCAAGCUCUGAAUCGCCAAACCAUUGCAUCGCUUCCCCUUUGGGUCUCUUAAAUGUGUCCUGCAGAUGUUUCAUGAUGCUAAUAGAUACCGUGGUGUCACAUGCAGCUUUCUUCUCAUCUGCAGUAACUCUUUGACACAAAAUAAGGAGCUACUAUGAGACUGCCUCCUUGGGCCGUGUGUACGCAGUUUUGCAAGCUGUGUGUUGGUGAUAAUUCGCUAAGGACUCACUGGUGCAACGCCUAAAGGUGUAUGGCCGGGCUGCCACGUUUGAGCUUGAGCUGUGAGCUUGUUGGAUGACCUUUAAUGAAGGGGAAAGAAAGGCCAGCAUCGAGCCCGGCGAAGCAGCGGUCAUUUGAACAGUCACAGCAGACAGCUAACAUCAGAAAUGAUCACAGAGGAAAUCUGGAGACUUCACUUCAUAUGGGUUUUUUUGGUGUUUCAGUAACACUGGAUGGAAAGCAGCUCCCCUCUGUUGUGGUUUAUAUCAGAUCCGGAAUAUUCUGGUUUUUCCCUAGAGAGACAAGGAGCAGUUUGCCUGUGAACCAAACUUUAAGAUUAAAUUUCAGUGUCUUGAGGAACAAAAGUCUUCCUUGAGAAAUGUCACAAAACAUUCCCAGAUCAUUUACUAUGUCUCCUGCUGCCACAGGGGAGACACUAAAGGCCAGUGACAUUGAGAAAUAAGGAUAACAAAACGCAGACCACCGGAAUCAGCAGAACGCCAAGGAUAAGCUGGAAGCUGAAUGAUCCAAAUUGCUGUUAUGUGCUGAGUUAGACUGCUGAAAGAAACAUAAUGAAGGACCAGCUAGACAAAAGGUCCUGCAGGGUGCAGAAAAAGCUGCUGAAAGCUGUUGCUCAGCUGAAUGCAGAUGAGCUCAAAAAAGCACCCGAAACUGGUAUGGGAACAUGCUCCUCUCUGAGGACUCCUUGUGAAGGAGGAGUGGGAUGUUCCCCAGUGGGCUGGAGACAAAUAGGCAAACAGUUUCCCCCUGGAAUGAAGAGCGUCACUGAGAAAUAAAAAACAUCUUGAGCAUAAGAAAUGCAUUUGGUGCCAAGUCAUACUGGCCCACCUGUAAUCCUCCCAGCACAAAUCCACUGACCUGCAAGGCUCACUAAAUACAGAAAGGAAGCAGAAAGAGAGAAAUAGUUACACAAAUGCCUCAGAAAUCCAUGCUGACCCUUUAGCCAGAGGGCAGCAAAUACUGUAGAUGAGCAAGGAGCCAAGCGACUGUUGAAAGGGAAAGAUUUUAGUGCACAUUAGCUUCCCCCUAUCAAGAGUAAAGGCUUUUCGGGCUGGAUGUCCAGAAAUGCCGUUACUGUUCUAGUUGCAGACCAUUCAUGAUCACAGCACCCUGAAAUUUAGGGACUAAGGCUCUAAUAGAUAUAACUAAAAAUGCUAGGCAAGGCGUUAGCUGUUACAACAGCAGAAGAUGUCUUCCUCACAACAUAUUGGAGGAAAAAAAAAGCACUGACACGUGAAGUCUUUGACAUGGAAUAAUUUGCUGCGUUCUGUGUAGACCAUAACAAGUAUUUUAAAAAUAAUUGCAGGGCUGGGCUGGGUAAAUUUAGGCUGGACAUCCAAUGGCGUUCUCGGCGUUGAAAUAAAUUUAUCGCUGACUUGGAAGUAAGUAUGCACUUGGGAAGUGAUAGCUGUGGUCUUGCUGCAUUUGCUUUGUGCAAACAGAACAUGGCACUGGGCAGUAACGUGUGUACUCAGCACCGUUAGAGAGCUGCUUCCCCAGAGCUUAUAACAGCAGUCAGCCUAACUCUCUGAGAAUACAAACCUGAAGUGGGGAACAUGAACAAAGGCUGGAAAUUGUUCAGCUACUAGAUUCCCUAUGGUCAAGAGAAAAAAAAUUUCAGGGCUAGACACCGUAAUGGUGAAGAAAAGAAGAGGAAGCAGUGACAAAACAUGCAAGACGGAGGCAGAGAUGAUCUUAAUGAAGAAAAAAAGGGUGUAAAUUAUUUUUAAUAUAGUUUGGGAGUAAUUAAUAAAGGAAGAAGCAGGGAUUAAUGAAGUAAUGAUAGUAUUAGAUAAAAAAAAUAAUCUUUUGAAAAUACGGUUACAAGAGGAAAAACACCCAUCAGUUACAGGUUCAGUGUUAGUUAAGCUGGAAUUAAUGAGGCAGGAAAGUCAGAAAUGCAAAGCAGAUAUUUCUGUUUUGUAUUGGCUGGUAUUUGGCUGGCUUCAAAAAUGAACGCUUCAACCAUACAUUGAGAUGAUUUCGUCAAUUUUCACCCACCUACCUGGCAAAAAGAAUAGCAGCCCAGAGAAGAUGAUUUUUCUUUCAUGUUAUAUCUCUUUACAAUAGAUCCUUUGAUAGAGUGCAAUCUGUCAUUACGCUAACUAUCUGUUCAAGCAAAAUGGCAUCUCUGAUAUGCUGCGUGGCAGAGUGAAUGGCCUAAUGGGCAUAGAGGGACGCGUCCACAGAGGCUGUGGUUUCAAAAAACUAAAAGGAAAAAAAGGGAAAAAAAGGGAAAAAAGGAGACUUGAGGGAAAAGGAUUCUUUUUAACAGGAUAUGAGAGCCUAACUCCCUUAAACUCCUUUGGAAAUCUGAGCCAGAAAUCCUAUGAUUUUAUAAGAUAGUUUGACUAACUAAGACAAAAAGAUUAAACAGGUGCCGAUGAUGCUGCAGUGGCACAACUAGACAUGUGGGGUGUUGGCUUUGAAGGGUGCUGCAGGGAGACAGGCCACCACAGCGGGUGUAACCGCGUGCUGCGUCGUCUGACACGAGAAAGGAAAGAUUUUGCCGGGAUGACAAAUGAAAUACAAAAGCUGUAAAUAGAGGCUCUGCACUUACAUGUUUUGUAGCUCGUAGGCAAAAGGCACAGAUGGAUUGGAGAGAAAUCACUGGCCAAAGCACUGUCAAAACGCUGCAGUUGUGCUACAGCUUAAAAAUUGUCAUUUUUCAUUUACCGAUUAAGUGUAUAAUAGUGUCAACUGUCAAACUUGCAGUUGUGACAUGCAAUUUGUUACCUGCAGGGAAUCUAUUUGAAAAUGUGUAACAUUUCAUAUUAUGUAUUAAUCACGUGAGACACUAUUGCAUGGUGCAGAUUAACCAGCGUCUGGUUUCCAUACAGACUCUGAGAGAAAUCUUGCUCUGUGUGUGUGUUGUUUCAAUUAUACGGUGCUUUUCUUUAUUUUUAGCGCCAUAGAAAUGUGAUAAUUUGGCUGGAGUAAGUCCAACUGCAUUGUAAAGUUAAUGAAUUUCUUAGCAGAUCUUUUUUAAGACUUUCUGUUCAGAAAAAGCCACCGAGCACAAAAUUAAUUGGGCAGGGUUACAAAAUAUCCAACUCAGACAUUAUAGGAGUCAAUGAGAGUGGUUGUGUGGAGAAAGGCUUAUUGCUUUUAUCUCCCUGAAUGUCACAGUCAUACAGCCAGUGAUGAUAAUGCUUUAUAUUGAAAAUUAAAGGAGUGCUUCGAAGCCAGUUUAGAAUGACAAAGGGAAAACUGUUGGUGCAGGGCUAAACUUGGUGGGAAAUGUGACUUUCCGUUUCAGCACAGCCCCAGGGGUUUGCUGCGGGCAGACGUUCUCUGACCGGAGCUUUUGCAUGUAGGAGCAUGAAGUGAGCAGCCUGCACGUGUGGUCUUACCCACCCUUGUGGGACAGUGGGGGUUUCGCCCCAGGGCUCGCUCUGCAGCAUCUCUGACACUUCUGCCUGCACUUUACACUGGAUUUUGAGUAAGAAUCAUGGAAUCGUUAAGGUUGGAAAAGACCCUUAAGAUCACCGAGUCCAACCGCUAACCUGUCACUGCCAAGGCCACCACUAAACCACAUCCUCAAGCACCACGUCUACCCUUCCUUUAAAUACCCCCAGGGAUGGAGACUCAGCCACUUCCCUGGGCAGCCUGUUCCGAUGUUUGACAACCCUUUCGGUGGCUUAUUCCUCCAAAUGCUCCUGACGUUGAGGUGGUUCAUUCACUACCGUUUUGUGUGUGGAACAAAGCUGCCAGUGCGCCUGUUGGGGUAUUUUUGAGUACAAAAACUCAUCAUGUGUGAAGAUCCUAGUUAGUAUCACCUAAAAACAAGCAUUGUUAGAGGCUUUGUCACCUGAGUUCUAGCCACUGCUAUAGCGAAUGGAGCAACAGAAGGCAGAAGUCUUUUCAGCCACAGCCUCUGACCAUCCUUGUUCCUCUCCCUGGACCUGGAAGGAAGCCGGACAGAUUAAUCACCUGCUUCAGCAUUUCAGUGAGGAGCCUGAUGAGACAGAAUGAACCUGGGCCCAGGACCCAAAUACAACAUGCCAGUGCUCACGUAAGUGCCCAUGCAGACAAAGCAAGAGAGCUUCUGAGUGCUGUUUUGGUGGUGUUCUUUAAUUCUGGUCCUUUACUCUUCUUAGCCCUGGCCAGGAGUGUGCACCAGGGGUUGGACAGGGGAGAGUGAUUGUUCUACCACCUUCCCAUCUGGCCCCUUGAACAUUUUAUGGCAGUCCAAAGGCUCUGCUGGAUUGUGCUGUGGAAUAGUGGUCUUAAGGGUCCACAUUCAUCAUGCUGUGAACAGAAAAACACCCUCUGGCAUAGGCCUGCGGGCCACAGGGAGGUGCAUCGGGUGGGAUGUGGGAGAGCUGCUCUCUACCAGAAAAAAGCUCUUCCUUCCCAGUAGGCUUCCACUUGCAGCGCCUUUUAUUUGUCCUGAUAGCAUGAAAACAACCCUAAAUCUAAGUAGAACUUAGGCCAAAGCGUUUACCAGACUCAGUUUGCUUAAAAAAAAAAAAAGUAGAAUGUGUAGUAUUUAAUAUUGUAGUUUUCCAUAAAAUUUGCAUAAGCAUAAUGUGUGCCCUAAGGCUCCUUUACCAAGGAUUCUGUGCAUUAUCAUCAUACAUAUAUUAACAAUGUGUUUGAACUCUGUAGCAAAUUUUAAUUUUUCUUUGUCAAUAUCAAUGUUUCCAUUGCAUACACAGGGUGGAAUGAGCUCAGUGUUUUCAUUAUAUUUUUCAAUUAACUUUUCUUCCCCUCAUCAAUGCUGUUGUGGAUUAAUUCAUUCUCUCCACUUUUCUUCAAGAAAAAAAAAAAUCAUUAUCUGAUAUGAAAUAUUUCAGUUCCUUGGAAGAAAACUGGCUGUGAAAGGGGAUGCUCAAUCCAGGUAGCAGCAUGCUACCAGCUAAAGGCUUGACCAUGUUAAUGAUCAAACACCAGUGGGUUGGUCACCUCUAGGAAGCCAGAUAAUUUAAUGGCUUAACCAAACUGUAGGAAUAUCCUGAAUCUGACCUUUGUGGGGUUAUUAAGGAGGGAGGGCAGCUCAAAGGAAACAACCUGUGGCCUGGGAGCUUUAUUCCCUCUCCAGGGCAGCAAAUGCAUUAGUCCCGUUACUGUAGCAUUUCAGAGGAAGGUCCAUAAGCACAAGGAGCCAAGAACCAUGUUAUUAAUUAUUGAAGGAGUGUAAGGGAAGCUAUUUUGCUGCUGGUCUUGUUGGGCAAUCUCUCAUUCUCCUGCCCAAAGACGGAAACUCCCUGGAAAGCCCCUCCAGAGCCAAGAACAGCUUCGGUGAUCCCCUUGGAAUUGUCUCAGGCGCAGACAUCCCUCCCUCCUGGUGCUGUUUCUGGGGCUCAAUGAUCCAGUUAUUGACAUCUGGGGAGGGAAGGAGAGAUACCCCUGCUCAUACCAAAAGGCUGUCCCAUACAGGUGAUUUUUCUUUGCUCCUUGUAUAGUAGAGUAACUUUGUGAAGCUCACUCAAGAGCAAGCUGGUUUGGUUGCUUUUUGCUGUCUCUAGAGUCAGGUGGGUUGAGCUCAGACGCCUCACAGAAGGACAACCUCUUCACAUCUGCUGCCAUGAGUAACCCAUGGAGAAAGCCCAGCUGCCUGGUCGUAGCCAGUUGUCUCAUCUGGCUUGGGACAGCUGGGCCUGAGCGCUGAACAAGCACAAGACAGAAAGCCCCGAACUGUUUAAAGCUCCUCAAUAACAAUGGCAGAGCAAAGAGGGAAGAAAGGAAGGGUUGGAUCUUCUGGGAGUUUCUGGGAUGCACAAGUAGGGAGUAGAAACCCCAACUCCCUCUGCCCCUUUUUUCUCCUUGUAAGACCCAGCUGGUACCUCCCCAGCCUGCCAUUAAGGUUGCUAGUCCAGGAUGUUGUUCAAAUUGUACCUCCCUUUCCCUCCAUGCAUCUGGUGCAUCUGCAUUGGGAAAAUAAGCCAUGAAGUCAAGACCUGCUCAUUUGGAGGGUGGGUUUUGGUCGUUUUUUUCGCCUUCACAAGCAAUUAUUUAAGGACACCAUUGCCAAACCUGCCUUGUAGGAUACCAGCGCUCAGGAUGCCUAGUACGGUACACGAGGAACCAGUUUCUCUAUGGUCUUCAGAGCUGAACACAGUACACAUUCAACACAAGCUUUGAAGCACAGCAGCUCUGCUCCUUAAGGGUAAUGCACAACCUCCUCCCUCCUUCUGCAGUCCUUUGAGGCUUGGCUUGAGAGCAAAUUGCAGCAAAUUGGUGUCCACCCUGCCAUGGAAAACACGUUAAUUUUUAUGUGCUGUCCUGAUGCAGAGAGGAGCGAUAUUUUGGUCUUUUUAUAUUUUUUUUUUUUCAGGCUGGGGGGGUGUAUGAAGAUUUGUGUUUUUCGUUCAUGGAACUGUCUUUCUGACAGGGGUCUGCACCUUUCAAAGGAAUUAUUUGUUGUAUACCCACAGUGGACUGUUUGUGUAGAGUUUUCAGGAAAAAAUCUGUCGAUGAAAUAUGCGGCCAUUUAAUUUAUCCUUCACAGUUGUUCCAUGUAAAUGAAGAAAUGGAAGUCUUUGUGAGCCAUCAAAGCUGUGAAAUAAAUGCACGAUUAGCUGCAUGAAAGUGCUGAAACCCAUUAGCACUCAUUUUAGAAUAAUAAUGUACUUCAAGUCUAUUUG